UUUAGCUUUCUUUUUUCGGCGAGAUAUGCAUUGAGAUUUAGGGCUUCAAUUAGCUUUAAUUGUAGUCCGAUUCAAAUUUGAUGAUGACGAUGGUAAAACUUGCAAUUUUUAUUAGACGGAAAAGAAAAAGAUUUUGCUUACAAGGCCUCAAGAACUCUCUGAUUUCUUCUAAAUUUGAUUUUUUUCAUGGAAAUGAAAAGGAGAUCAUAAUUGAAGAAGAACUCCAAUGUCCACCUUCGCUACCAUGAGUGAUCUGCAUCUAAUUGUAUUUUCUUUCUUGCUCAUCUACAUGGUGGAAAUACCAAUGAGAAAAAAGGGUUUCAAAUAUUGUAAAUGAGUCUUUAUUAGGUGCUUCGUCUUGUUCAUGUAAAGAUUUGAUCUUUUUUUCUGGUCCCUUUCUUCUCUGUAAU
Molecule: long non-coding RNA, 410 nt
Filed under: Musa acuminata (dwarf banana)
Lineage: Eukaryota; Viridiplantae; Streptophyta; Magnoliopsida; Zingiberales; Musaceae
Description: long non-coding RNA (MACU_LNC000130)
Source: RNAcentral